Mycena olivaceomarginata is the source of this 82-nucleotide non-coding RNA. NCBI's taxonomy places the organism in Eukaryota, Fungi, Basidiomycota, Agaricomycetes, Agaricales, Mycenaceae. The record is from the annotation of a GenBank genome assembly.
GACACUUUGGCCGAGUGGUUAAGGCGAUGCCCUGCUAAGGCAUUGGGGUCUCCCCGCGUGUGUUCGAAUCGCACAGGUGUCG